AUUGAACGCUGGCGGCAUGCCUUACACAUGCAAGUCGAACGGCAGCACGGGAGCAAUCCUGGUGGCGAGUGGCGAACGGGUGAGUAAUAUAUCGGAACGUGCCCAGUCGUGGGGAUAACGUAGCGAAAGCUACGCUAAUACCGCAUACGAUCUAUGGAUGAAAGCGGGGGAGUCGCAAGACCUCGCGCGAUUGGAGCGGCCGAUAUCAGAUUAGGUAGUUGGUGAGGUAAAGGCUCACCAAGCCGACGAUCUGUAGCUGGUCUGAGAGGACGACCAGCCACACUGGGACUGAGACACGGCCCAGACUCCUACGGGAGGCAGCAGUAGGGAAUUUUGGACAAUGGGCGCAAGCCUGAUCCAGCAAUGCCGCGUGCAGGAUGAAGGCCUUC
Molecule: ribosomal RNA, 389 nt
Filed under: uncultured bacterium
Lineage: Bacteria
Description: bacterial SSU rRNA
Rfam family: Bacterial small subunit ribosomal RNA
Source: RNAcentral